RNAcentral lists this ribosomal RNA (354 nucleotides) under uncultured bacterium. RNAcentral's name for it is "bacterial SSU rRNA". It matches the Rfam family "Bacterial small subunit ribosomal RNA", at positions 8 to 350 of the family's 1533-position model. The record is from RNAcentral.
AGAGUUUGAUCCUGGCUCAGGAUGAACGCUAGCUACAGGCUUAACACAUGCAAGUCGAGGGGAAACGACAUCGAAAGCUUGCUUUUGAUGGGCGUCGACCGGCGCACGGGUGAGUAACGCGUAUCCAACCUGCCCAUCACUUGGGGAUAACCUUGCGAAAGUAAGACUAAUACCCAAUGACGUCUCUAGAAGACAUCUGAAAGAGAUUAAAGAUUUAUCGGUGAUGGAUGGGGAUGCGUCUGAUUAGCUGUUGGCGGGGUAACGGCCACCAAGGCGACGAUCAGUAGGGGUUCUGAGAGGAAGGUCCCCCACGAUUGGAACUGAGACCACGGUCCAAACUCCGUACGGGAGGCA